Molecule: ribosomal RNA, 2833 nt
Filed under: human gut metagenome
Description: bacterial LSU rRNA
Rfam family: Bacterial large subunit ribosomal RNA
Source: RNAcentral
UCAAGCGAACAAGGGCGCAGGGCGAAUGCCUUGGCACUGGGAGCCGAUGAAAGACGUGAUAAGCUGCGAUAAGCUUCGGGGAGCUGCAAAUAAGCAUUGAUCCGGAGAUUUCUGAAUGAGGAAACUCACCUGGGUUCAUACUCAGGUACGUUAUACUGAACUUAAAAAUAGGUAUAUCGAGGGAACCGCCUGAACUGAAACAUCUAAGUAGGGCGAGGAAGAGACAUCAAACGAGAUUCCGUAAGUAGUGGCGAGCGAACGCGGAAGAGGGCAAACCGGAAGUAGAAAUACUUCCGGGGUACGGACCGCAUUUAGGACUUGAGUUGUUAACCGAACGGCAUGGGAAGGCCGGUCAGAGAGUGUGAGAACCACGUAGGUGAAAACGACAAGAGCUGAGCGAGUUCCAGAGUACGGCCAGACACGUGAAACCUGGUCGGAAUAUGGGGGGACCACCCUCCAACCCUAAAUACUACCCAGUGACCGAUAGCGUAUAGUACUGUGAAGGAAAGGUGAAAAGCACCCCGGGAGGGGAGUGAAAAAGAACCUGAAACCCUGUGCCUACAAGCACCUAGAGCACGUCAAUGUGUGAUAGGGUACUUUUUGUAGAACGGUCCGGCGAGCGAUUGUAUGCAGCAAGGUUAAGGACUUAAGGUCUGGAGCCGAAGCGAAAGCGAGUUUGAAAAGGGCGUUAAGUUGCAUACAAUGGGCCCGAAACCGGGUGACCUACCCAUGGUCAGGUUGAAGUGGAAGUAAAAUUCCAUGGAGGACCGAACCGACCUCCGUUGAAAAGGCGGCGGAUGAACUGUGGGUAGCGGAGAAAUUCCAAUCGAACCCGGAGAUAGCUGGUUCUCCCCGAAAUAGUUUUAGGACUAGCCUCAAGUUAGAUACCUGGAGGUAAAGCACUGAAUAGCCUAGCGGCCGAGAGGUUAGCGAAGCUUAUCAAACUCAGAAUGCCAGAGUAUUGAUGCUUGGGAGUCAGACAGUGUCAGAUAAAUGUCAUUGUCAAAAGGGAAACAGCCCAGAUCUACAGCUAAGGUCCCAAAGUCAGGUUAAGUGGAAAACGAUGUGAAGAUACGUAGACAACCAGGAUGUUGGCUCAGAAGCAGCCACACAUUCAAAGAGUGCGUAAUAGCUCACUGGUCGAGCGUCUUUGCGCGGAGAAUUUAACGGGGCUAAACCUGACACCGAAGCUUAGGCAAUACAGCAAUGUAUUGGGUAGGGGAGCGUUGUAUACGCGGUGAAACAGUAGCGCAAGCGGCUGUGGAGUGUAUAGAAGUGAGAAUGCCGGAAUGAGUAGCGCGAAUGCAGUGAGAAUCUGCAUGGCCGAAAGCCUCAGGUUUCUGGAGGAAGGUUCGUCCGCUCCAGGUUAGUCGGGAGCUAAGGUGAGGCCUAACGGCGUAGCCGAUGCACAGACGGUAGAGAUUCCGUCACCACCAAAAGAGUUAAACACAGGGACACAUUUGAAGUCUCGGAGCCGGGUGUUGGUUCCGGUAGCGAUCGAGGGAAAUUAGUACCGAAGUCCGGGAUGGAAGAUGGCGAGAAAAGCUGUGUGUAUUUCUGCGGUGCCCGUACCGCAAACCGACACAGGUAGGUAGGAAGAAGAUUCUAAGGCCAACGGGAGAAGGGUUGUUAAGGAACUCGGCAAAUUGACCCCGUAACUUCGGGAGAAGGGGUGCUCCAGAGAUGGAGCCGCAGAGAAUCGGCCCAAGCAACUGUUUACCAAAAACACAGGUUUGUGCUAAAUCGAAAGAUGACGUAUACGAGCUGACGCCUGCCCGGUGCUGGAAGGUUAAGAGGAGAUGUGCAAGCAUUGAAUCGAAGCCCCAGUGAACGGCGGCCGUAACUAUAACGGUCCUAAGGUAGCGAAAUUCCUUGUCAGGUAAGUUCUGACCCGCAUGAAAGGCGUAAUGAUUUGGGCACUGUCUCGACAGCCCGCCCGGCGAAAUUGUAGUACCGGUGAAGAUGCCGGUUACCCGCGACAAGACGGAAAGACCCCAUGGAGCUUUACUGUAGCCUAAUAUUGGGUUUCGAUGUUGCAUGCACAGGAUAGAUGGGACACAGGGAAACAAGUGCUUUGGCAUUUGUGGAGUGGCCGUUGGGAUACCAUCCUUGCGAUAUUGGAAUUCUAACCUGCGCCUUUGAAUCAAGGCGGGGGACAUUGUUAGGUGGGCAGUUUGACUGGGGCGGUCGCCUCCUAAAGAGUAACGGAGGCGUUCAAAGGUUCGCUCAGCUUGAACGGAAAUCAAGCAAAAGAGUGCAAACGCAGAAGCGAGCCUAACUGCGAGACUGACGGGUCGAGCAGUAACGAAAGUUGGAGUUAGUGAUCCGGUGGUAUGUGAGUGGAAAUGCCAUCGCUCAACGGAUAAAAGUUACCCUGGGGAUAACAGGCUGAUCUCCCCCAAGAGUCCACAUCGACGGGGAGGUUUGGCACCUCGAUGUCGGCUCAUCGCAUCCUGGGGCUGUAUUCGGUCCCAAGGGUUUGGCUGUUCGCCAAUUAAAGCGGUACGCGAGCUGGGUUCAGAACGUCGUGAGACAGUUCGGUCCCUAUCUGUCGUGGGCGCAGGAUAUUUGAUGGGAGCUGUUCCUAGUACGAGAGGACCGGAGCGGACGUACCUCUGGCGCACCAGUUGUUCUGCCAAGGGCAUAGCUGGGCAACUAUGUACGGAUCGGAUAAACGCUGAAAGCAUCUAAGCGUGAAGCCGACCCAAAGAUAAGAUAUCCCAUUGUUUCAAACAAGUAAGACCCCUUGAAGACUACAAGGUUGAUAGGCACGAUGUGUAAGUGGAGUGAUCCAUUCAGCAAGCGUGUACUAAUAGGUCGAGGGCUUGACCAC